This 451-nucleotide ribosomal RNA is filed under the name uncultured bacterium. RNAcentral's name for it is "bacterial SSU rRNA". It matches the Rfam family "Bacterial small subunit ribosomal RNA", at positions 28 to 475 of the family's 1533-position model. The record is from RNAcentral.
GAUGAACGCUGGCGGCGUGCCUAACACAUGCAAGUCGAACGAAGCUUGAUGAAUGAUUUCUUCGGAAUGAAUUCUGAUAUGACUUAGUGGCGGACGGGUGAGUAACACGUGAGCAACCUGCCUUUCAGAGGGGGAUAACGGCUGGAAACGGUCGCUAAUACCGCAUGAUAUGUUUGGAUGGCAUCAUUUGAACAUCAAAGAUUUAUCGCUGAAAGAUGGGCUCGCGUCUGAUUAGAUAGUUGGUGAGGUAACGGCUCACCAAGUCGACGAUCAGUAGCCGGACUGAGAGGUUGAACGGCCACAUUGGGACUGAGAUACGGCCCAGACUCCUACGGGAGGCAGCAGUGGGGAAUAUUGCACAAUGGGGGAAACCCUGAUGCAGCAACGCCGCGUGAAGGAAGACGGUUUUCGGAUUGUAAACUUCUUUUCUUUGUGAAGAAACAAAUGACGG